This is a long non-coding RNA of Brassica napus (rape), 3170 nucleotides long. RefSeq lists it as uncharacterized. NCBI's taxonomy places the organism in Eukaryota, Viridiplantae, Streptophyta, Magnoliopsida, Brassicales, Brassicaceae. The transcript is spliced from 2 exons. The record is from RefSeq and is a predicted model, not a curated record.
UGUUGAUCGGAUCAGAGUUACUGGAGAGAUUUGUCGCUCUGAGAAAAAUUGAGAGGUUUGUUUAGUCUAAUGGCCGCGACGAAACGGAAGGAUAUCAGCAUCCGAUGGAUCCAUAUCUAGACGGUUCUUCUGUGAAUCGGAUCAGUGAUUCGAUUGUUUAAGUCUCCGGUGACGCGCCUUCUUCCUCGAUGGUCGUCCGGCUCUAUCUCUGGGAAGCGAUGGCUCUUUCAGCAUCGGUUUUGCCGGUUUUUGUCUCCGGGAGGGGAUGGCUUCUCUAGCAUCUCGAUCGCCGGCUUUGUGUCUCCGGGAAGGGAUGGCUUCUCUAGCAUCUCGAUCGCCGGCUUUGUGUCUUCGGGAAGGGAUGGCUUCUCUAGCAUCUCGAUCGCCGGCUUUUUCUCAGGUAGAUCUACCAUCCAGAGCGCUUCAGUUGUUCUUCUUGCCUCUCUUUCUAAGUCUCAGAGGACUUUCUCCUCCACUCGGUUGUAUGUGGCGUUUGAAAGUAUCUUGAAUGAUUAUGAACGAUUGUAGGCGGUUGUUAGCUUUGUGGGUCUCGUAGAUCCUUCAGUGUGUUUGGUUCAUUGGCUCGAGCUUUGAGUAUAAUGUUCAGGUGGAACAGAGAGUAUCCGGUUAGUCUAUGCCGUCGACGUUGAUCCGUAGAAUCGUCGUGAUAGCUCCGGAGGUUUCGAUUACGACACGGGUUACUGUCUCGUGUUGGUAAUGAGUUUUUUUUUGUGGGCUUUAGGCCCAAGUUUGGUUUUGCAAGUGAUCGGUUUGUCUUUGUGCUUUUUAUUUAUGGUUGUUGUAGUCUCGAACUUGGUUUUUAUUUGGGCUUUCGAUCCAUUAAUAAAAUUCUAGACGACAAAAAAAAAAAUUUUAAAAAAUAAAGUUCCUUUUUAAAACAUGAUCUUACACAACAUAGAAUAUAUUUUCAAAGUAAUCAAAAUAUUUUAAAUAGAAUAACUCUAUAACUCCAUAUCCUUUUAGUAAACCAAAAAUAUUCUACUUUAUCAAUAUAAAAAAUUCUUAUAUUUCUCAAAUUUUAGCUUGCUUGUUAAUUUUUGUUAUAUUUGUACAACCUAAUAUAACUAAUCAAAAUAUCCAAGUAAAUCUGAACAUGUUUAAUAUUAUUUAAAAUAAUUAUUUGCUUACUUUUUAAUAAAUUUAAGGUAUAAGAUUAAUUAGAUUUUUUUUUCUGCAUAGACACGUAAUAGUACUGUUUUUAAUUAAACAUAGGUUUUGUAAAUUAUUUUGGUCAAUGAAAAUCCUCUAACAAAAAAAAGUAAAUUAUUUUGGUCAACAUGAUUAUCUACAAAACUCCAAGUUUCCAACAAAAUAAAUAUAUUUGCAAAGAGUGUCGGUUUGGAUAUUUAUUGGUAUUUCAUAAAAAAAUAUUAUUUUAUAUUUUAUGGUAAAAUUUCAAAUAAAAUUUUGAUUUCAUCCCAUUAUUUUAAUAUAUUAAUUUGAAUUUUUCAAUAAUAUUUAAACAAAAUCUAAAAUAAAAAUUUUAAAUAAUUUUUAAUAUAUGUGAAAACUUUGAAAUAAUAUAUGUGAAAACUUUGAAAUAAUAUUAUUUGUGAAACCGGGGAGCGAGUAAUACACAUUUUAAUAGUCUCGAUUCUCGAAAACGCUCUAGGCUUCGAUAUUGUUGGCAGGCACUAGCACCCUCCGCCAUUCUUUUGUCUUCUUGUGUCUCCUUUUAUAGAAUUUGUCUUCUUUCAUUUCAAACUUGACUCAUCACAUCAACCAUAUGUUUUUUAUAUAUAACUAUUCAGCAAUUACCAAACACAUAAUUGAAUAGAUCUCAUAUUAGACAACGUAAUGGGAAAGGGUCAGAACUUGACCAUUGAAAAAGUCACCGGGGUAUGGUAAUAGACACAUAGAAUAUUGUUCAACUGUUCAAUUUUGCAUAAAGAAAAUACUUCUUUGGAAUUAUUUUUAACAUUGACCAACGUUGUUGAAUAUAAGGAUCGUGGUGUCUACUGUGUCUAGGUCCAAACCGAUUCGUAACUACUAUUCAUAUAUUUUCUGUAUAAUAAUUAUCUACAGAUAAUUCGACCAAAUCCUAAGAUGUGUGAUUCCGAUGGGUUAAUAGUUAAUACUUGUCGGUAAUAGCAUUAAUGUUAUGAGAAUAAAUAUGUGAAAUUUGUGGCUGAAAGUUAAUGCAGUUUAUAAACCUUUUUCUUACUGAACUUUUUCACAGUUUAUGAACUUGUGGUUGAAAAUAGACGACUAUUACCCAUAUGUGUGUUUAAGUAGGUGAAAAAGUUAAACCUCGAAGAAAAAAAUAGUAGGUCAAAUAAUAGUGCUCAAGUUUAGCAUAAUAGUAAUGCGCCAGGUAAAAUUCAAGAAAACAUUCUUGGUGGGUUUGUCGCAGUCGGAGUGAUGAUUUAAACGGAUAAAAAGGUUUGGGAAAAAAGUUGAUCGUAGCAAUAAGAAAAUGACAAUUCUUUAGAAUAUUCUUUUUUAAGUUUUUAUCACAAAAAUAAACCUCAAAAAUUAAAAUAAUUAAAAUAGCAUUUUUCUUGAAAAAUUUAAUUUAAUUUUAUUUUUAAAAAUUUGAAAUCAUAUACCCAAAACUCCACUCCUCAAUUCUAAACCAUAAACUCUAAACUCUAAACCCUAAACUCUAAACCCUAAAAACUAAAUCCUAAACUCUAAACCUUAAACUCUAAACCUCAAAUCCUAUCCGUUAACUCUAAAUUUUAAUGUCUAGAUUAAUUAAAGUAUAAGUGUAUAUUUGUGACAAAAACUUUUUUACGUCUAUCCUAGAGAUUUCUCCUAAGAAAAAGAAAAUCUGAUGAUUAAGUAUUUGAUUAAAUUACAAAAGUAAAAGAAGGGAAGAAGGGCCACCAUUUUAGUAAUCUUUUGUUUUAUUUUUUGUUCGCUAUGAAUAUUUCAAUGAUGUUUAGUGCAAGUGUAUUUAUGCGGCAAAAAAACUCUCCCGAUUUGUUAAUAGAGGUCGUUAUUACUGGUCUUCAAUUUUUUUCAACUGGUCUUUAUUUUAUUUUAUUUUUUAUUUUUGAAUUAAAUGUUAAAUUUAACUAAAAAAAAAGACUGUUCUUACAUCAAAAGAUACAACAUUUAAUUGAACACCAAUUUAAACUCUAUUAAUCUAAAACCUCCAACUCCUAUUUGCUUUUUUUAAUCUUCUCUUGUGUUAAACCAGUAGA